RNAcentral lists this long non-coding RNA (291 nucleotides) under Malus domestica (apple). RNAcentral describes it as "long non-coding RNA (MDOM_LNC017034)". Lineage: Eukaryota; Viridiplantae; Streptophyta; Magnoliopsida; Rosales; Rosaceae. The record is from RNAcentral.
ACAUAUACCUUCAUCAAAUAAUGCCAGACCUGUACCUUCCUCAAAUAAUGGAAGACAUGUACCUUCGGCAAAUAAUGGCAGACAUGUACUUUCAGCAAAUAAUGGUAGACAUAUACCUUCAGCAAAUAAUGGCAGACAUGUACCUUCAGCAAAUGAUGGUAGAGUUGUACCUGGCCGUCGUGAUGAAAGGAAACUGGUAUCUAUGAAUGGACAGAUGCAUUCUAAAGUGGGGCCCAAUAAGUUGAGUUCUGCCAGUAGACGACCCGAUUCAACAUCAAUGGACUCGAGAAG